This 453-nucleotide ribosomal RNA is filed under the name uncultured Porphyromonadaceae bacterium. RNAcentral describes it as "partial 16S ribosomal RNA". It matches the Rfam family "Bacterial small subunit ribosomal RNA", at positions 341 to 792 of the family's 1533-position model. The record is from RNAcentral. Lineage: Bacteria; Pseudomonadati; Bacteroidota; Bacteroidia; Bacteroidales; Porphyromonadaceae.
ACGGGAGGCAGCAGUGAGGAAUAUUGGUCAAUGGGCGAGAGCCUGAACCAGCCAAGUCGCGUGAAGGAUGAAGGUUCUAUGGAUUGUAAACUUCUUUUGUUCGAGGGUAAAGUGAGUCACGUGUGAUUUGUUGCAAGUAUCGAACGGAUAAGCAUCGGCUAACUCCGUGCCAGCAGCCGCGGUAAUACGGAGGAUGCGAGCGUUAUCCGGAUUUAUUGGGUUUAAAGGGUGCGUAGGCGGGAUGUUAAGUCAGCGGUAAAAUAGUGUAGCUCACCUAUACCUCGCCGUUGAAACUGGCGUUCUUGAGUGUAAACGAGGUAGGAGGAAUGUGACGUGUAGCGGUGAAAUGCUUAGAUAUGUCACAGAACCCCGAUUGCGAAGGCAGCUUACCAGGAUACAACUGACGCUGAGGCACGAAAGCGUGGGUAUCAAACAGGAUUAGAUACCCUGGUA